AGAGUUUGAUCCUGGCUCAGGACGAACGCUGGCGGCGUGCCUAAUACAUGCAAGUAGAACGCUGAAGACUUUAGCUUGCUAGAGUUGGAAGAGUUGCGAACGGGUGAGUAACGCGUAGGUAACCUGCCUACUAGCGGGGGAUAACUAUUGGAAACGAUAGCUAAUACCGCAUAAUAGUGUUUAACACAUGUUAGAGACUUGAAAGAUGCAAUUGCAUCACUAGUAGAUGGACCUGCGUUGUAUUAGCUAGUUGGUGGGGUAACGGCCUACCAAGGCGACGAUACAUAGCCGACCUGAGAGGGUGAUCGGCCACACUGGGACUGAGACACGGCCCAGACUCCUACGGGAGGCAGCAGUAGGGAAUCUUCGGCAAUGGGGGCAACCCUGACCGAGCAACGCCGCGUGAGUGAAGAAGGUUUUCGGAUCGUAAAGCUCUGUUGUAAGAGAAGAACGUGUGUGAGAGUGGAAAGUUCACACAGUGACGGUAACUUACCAGAAAGGGACGGCUAACUACGUGCCAGCAGCCGCGGUAAU
This 534-nucleotide ribosomal RNA is filed under the name Streptococcus sp. W40. RNAcentral describes it as "bacterial SSU rRNA". It matches the Rfam family "Bacterial small subunit ribosomal RNA", at positions 8 to 524 of the family's 1533-position model. The record is from RNAcentral. Lineage: Bacteria; Bacillati; Bacillota; Bacilli; Lactobacillales; Streptococcaceae.